GGGAGAGGGGCAGAGGAUUCAGAUCCAGGCUUGAAUCCUCCUACUUUUCUUGGCGAAGCCCAACCUAACUCACGUGAGAGGUGGUGAAGGAAAAGGUGACAUCAAAGGAGUAAAAUUACAGGCCCUCCCACAGCAGACUCAACGGAGUUUCGCUGGAUGUUCCUUAAAUGGAUGGUUUGCACGGAUGACUUCCAAUCUAAGCAUCAGAGCCCCGGAAAGAAGGCCCCGGUUCUGGACUCAGAUGGGCAUGGAGACGACACCUGGUGAUAUUAAUUCAGCAAGACCCGGUCAGCCGCACACCAGUGAUUACAAAAGUGAAUAAUCCUCAUUCGGAUCUGGGCUGUCAGCAAAGACUGAGCAAAUGGCAGCACAGAGAAUGGGGUACCAGGCAAUCAAGCGUUGAGCCAGCCUUCUUAGCCUUGAUGCGCCCCCAGAAAGGCAGUUUCAGCAUUUUUCACAAAGGAGGUGCCCCAGGGAAAGUAAGUUGUGCCAGUCAAAACCGUUUAUGAGACGAGGUCUAAGUUUUGUUUUCUUAUGCAACUGGGAGCAUGUCUCACAUCACAUUUUCCCUUUCGCUGUAUUAAUGGAAGAUUAUAUUAUCACUUGGGUCUAAAAACAAAUACCUAACA
Long non-coding RNA from Suricata suricatta (meerkat), 629 nucleotides. RefSeq lists it as uncharacterized. Lineage: Eukaryota; Metazoa; Chordata; Mammalia; Carnivora; Herpestidae. The record is from RefSeq and is a predicted model, not a curated record. The transcript has 3 exons.